GAUGAAGAACGUAGCGAAAUGCGAUAAGUAAUGUGAAUUGCAGAAUUCAGUGAAUCAUCGAAUCUUUGAACGCACAUUGCGCCCGCCAGUAUUCUGGCGGGCAUGCCAGUUCGAGCGUCAUUACAACCCUCAGGCCCCCGGGCCUGGCGUUGGGGAUCGGCGGAGCCCCCCGUGGGCACACGCCGUCCCCCAAAUACAGUGGCGGUCCCGCCGCAGCUUCCAUCGCGUAGUAGCUAACACCUCGCGACUGGAGAGCGGCGCGGCCACGCCGUAAAACACCCAACUCUUCUGAAGUUGACCUCGAAUCAGUUAGGAAUACCCGCUGAACUUAAGCAUAUCAAUAAGCGGAGGA
Molecule: unclassified non-coding RNA, 352 nt
Filed under: soil metagenome
Description: partial contains 5.8S ribosomal RNA, internal transcribed spacer 2, and large subunit ribosomal RNA
Rfam family: 5.8S ribosomal RNA (bases 1-120)
Source: RNAcentral